GUGGGGAAUAUUGGGCAAUGGGGGCAACCCUGACCCAGCGACGCCGCGUGGGUGAAGAAAUCCCUCGGGAUGUAAAGCCCUGUUGUAUGGGAAGAGCAGAAGACGGUACCAUACGAGGAAGCCCCGGCAAACUACGUGCCAGCAGCCGCGGUAAUACGUAGGGGGCAAGCGUUGUCCGGAAUUACUGGGCGUAAAGCGCACGCAGGCUGAAUUAUAAGUCGGUAGUCAAAUACGGAGGCUCAACUUCCGGAUAUCUAUCGAUACUGUAAAUCUAGAGUAUGUGAGAGGAAAGGGGAAUUCCCAGUGUAGCGGUGAAAUGCGUAGAUAUUGGGAGGAACACCAGUGGCGAAGGCGCCUUUCUGGACUGUGUCUGACGCUGAGAUGCGAAAGCCAGGGUAGCGAACGGGAUUAGAAACCCUUGUAGUCC
This 427-nucleotide ribosomal RNA is filed under the name uncultured bacterium. RNAcentral's name for it is "partial 16S ribosomal RNA". It matches the Rfam family "Bacterial small subunit ribosomal RNA", at positions 354 to 796 of the family's 1533-position model. The record is from RNAcentral.